GUGUUUGAUUCAGUACCACACAUACUAAAAUCAUAAUGACACAGAAAGAUACAGGGUCUCUAUGCAAGGAUGACACACAGGCUCAUGAAAGGUUUUGUAUUAUU
RNAcentral lists this small nuclear RNA (104 nucleotides) under Erinaceus europaeus (western European hedgehog). The record is from RNAcentral. Lineage: Eukaryota; Metazoa; Chordata; Mammalia; Eulipotyphla; Erinaceidae.